This 71-nucleotide transfer RNA is filed under the name Heterocephalus glaber (naked mole-rat). It matches the Rfam family "tRNA". Rfam says of the family: Transfer RNA (tRNA) molecules are approximately 80 nucleotides in length. The record is from Rfam by way of RNAcentral. Lineage: Eukaryota; Metazoa; Chordata; Mammalia; Rodentia; Bathyergidae.
GGGAGUGUAGCUCAGUGGUACAGCACUUGCCUAGCAUGCAAAAAGCCCUGGUUUGAUCCCCAGCACCAUUA